Hippopotamus amphibius kiboko is the source of this 505-nucleotide long non-coding RNA. RefSeq lists it as uncharacterized. Lineage: Eukaryota; Metazoa; Chordata; Mammalia; Artiodactyla; Hippopotamidae. The record is from RefSeq and is a predicted model, not a curated record. The transcript has 3 exons.
GCGGCUCUCGACGCGGCAGUGCACAAAGGAAAAGUGAAGUGUGUGUUGCUUUGGCCGCCGGGGGCGCUGAGGACCUCACGCGAGUAAAAGCCUGGUACUUGGCUUCUUCAUAUCAUGGCCACAAGGAGGUGAGCAAGGAUAGGGACAGAGAUGACACUGAAGAACCAUACAAGGAAUUUUUAUAAAUGUUGAAUUAUACUAAUAGAGGUUGACUCUGGGUUUUACAGCCUGGUGGAUCCAGUUUCCUACUGGCUUGUGGCUGCAGUAUAGGAAUGUUCAAUGCACCACAGGAACCAAGGCUAAAGGAUUGGCUCCAAGACCAGUCAUGGUACCUGAGAAGUAACAGGAGUUGAACUCUAGGCUUACACAAGGCAUCCCAAGCCCUCCUUGUGCCUUGCCUGUGUUGUCUGCCUCACAUGCCAGCCAUUACAAAGCAUUAGCCCUCUAUUUACAUCUGUGCAUAAUAAGUCUGAAAGCUGGAUAAUCUUCAUGCCUUGAGUCUUAC